RNAcentral lists this ribosomal RNA (253 nucleotides) under uncultured bacterium. RNAcentral's name for it is "partial 16S ribosomal RNA". It matches the Rfam family "Bacterial small subunit ribosomal RNA", at positions 524 to 776 of the family's 1533-position model. The record is from RNAcentral.
UACGUAGGCAGCAAGCGUUGUUCGGAAUUACUGGGCGUAAAGAGUGUGUAGGCGGUGCUGCAAGUCUGGUGUGAAAUCUCCCGGCUCAACUGGGAGGGUGCGCCGGAAGCUGCAGUGCUAGAGGGUGGGAGAGGUAAGCGGAAUUCCUGGUGUAGCGGUGAAAUGCGUAGAUAUCAGGAGGAACACCUGUGGUGUAGACAGCUUACUGGACCACUUCUGACGCUGAGACACGAAAGCGUGGGUAGCAAACAGG